RNAcentral lists this long non-coding RNA (241 nucleotides) under Prunus persica (peach). Its description in RNAcentral is "long non-coding RNA (PPER_LNC000855)". Lineage: Eukaryota; Viridiplantae; Streptophyta; Magnoliopsida; Rosales; Rosaceae. The record is from RNAcentral.
UAUAAUUGACAAAAGUAUUUCAAAGGCACCUAGGGGGGUACUCCUAUGGUGGGUUUGAAAACCAUAUUAUGACACUUAUCAUAAAAUUUCUCUUGUUCCACAAAUCCGCUUUCACAAACCCAUUUUCCAAAUCUUUUCUCAACUUCCCAAAAUUAGUUCUUACAUGGGUAGCCAAAAUCCUUUCUCAACCAUAAAGCUCAUAAAGAUACAAAAUAUUCACAAACCUCAUUAUCAAAUUAAA